AACGUAGGAGGCGAGCGUUAUCCGGAUUCACUGGGCUUAAAGCGCGUGCAGGCGGUCCGGUAAGUCGGACGUGAAAUCUCCUGGCUCAACCGGGAGAGGCCGUUCGAUACUGCCAGACUAGAGGGCAGGAGAGGGAGGUGGAAUUCCGGGUGUAGCGGUGAAAUGCGUAGAUAUCCGGAGGAACACCUGUGGCGAAAGCGGCCUCCUGGUCUGCCCCUGACGCUCAGACGCGAAAGCUAGGGGAGCAAACGGG
Molecule: ribosomal RNA, 253 nt
Filed under: uncultured bacterium
Lineage: Bacteria
Description: partial 16S ribosomal RNA
Rfam family: Bacterial small subunit ribosomal RNA
Source: RNAcentral